GAUGAAGAACGUAGUGAAAUGCGAUAAGUAAUGUGAAUUGCAGAAUUCAGUGAAUCAUCGAAUCUUUGAACGCACAUUGCGCCCGCCAGCACUCUGGCGGGCAUGCCUGUUCGAGCGUCAUUUCAACCAUCAAGCCCCCAGGGGCUUGUGCUGGGGCCCUGCGGCUGCCCGCAGGCCCUGAAAACCAGUGGCGGGCUCGCUAGUCACACCGAGCGCAGUAGCACAUCUCGCUCAGGGCGUGCGGCGGGCUCCUGCCGUGAAACCCCCCACUGUAACCCCAAAGGUUGACCUCGGAUCAGGUAGGAAUACCCGCUGAACUUAAGCAUAUCAAUAAGGGAGGA
Molecule: unclassified non-coding RNA, 341 nt
Filed under: soil metagenome
Description: partial contains 5.8S ribosomal RNA, internal transcribed spacer 2, and large subunit ribosomal RNA
Rfam family: 5.8S ribosomal RNA (bases 1-120)
Source: RNAcentral